Long non-coding RNA from Pseudopipra pipra, 271 nucleotides. RefSeq lists it as uncharacterized. The transcript has 3 exons. The record is from RefSeq and is a predicted model, not a curated record. Lineage: Eukaryota; Metazoa; Chordata; Aves; Passeriformes; Pipridae.
UUUUGGAUGGUUUAUUGUUUACUGACCAUUUCUCCUCAACUUUCCUCCUCUUUCAAAGGUGACGGGAUUGGUGCUGUUCUCUUUCUGGAGAGAAAGACAUCCUUGGUCAUCUAAAGCAUUGCACUCUCUUCCUGAGAGAGGCAAUGGCCACAGCAGGGAACGACUCCUUCAUUGCCGAGGGAAUGACUCCGCCACAAAGGAUCCUCUUUCCCCCCGAGAAGAUUUGCAUGGUCUGGCAGCAAAGACAGAGUGCUGGAGCAGGACUCCUCAA